RNAcentral lists this long non-coding RNA (827 nucleotides) under Homo sapiens (human). RNAcentral's name for it is "HSALNT0407382". Lineage: Eukaryota; Metazoa; Chordata; Mammalia; Primates; Hominidae. The record is from RNAcentral.
UCUCUUUUUCUGAUUUUGUCCCUCAGUCGAAUUAUUUCUUCUGAGGAGGCAAGGACUGAAGUUGCUACAGACCCCUAAGGACAGGCCAUCGGUAACACUGGGUAAAUCAGAUCUCUUCCACGGGUCUAUCAAUGAGAAGAAAGUGCCAACUGAAAACUUUUAGAAAAUACCCAGUUUACUCAAGGAAAAUAACAUGCAUUGAAGGUGAUUGCUCAAUAGAGAGAAGUUGAAACAGCAGACUAAUUGCCUGUUUGUGACACCCAUGUAAUCAACUUGAGGAAAAGGCGGUGUGAAGACAGAACAGAGAUAUUUAAAGAUGCUGGCCUUAAAGAUUGGAUUGAUUCAGCCCCAAGCCAAAGAAUCCUGGAAACCACCAGAAGUUGAAAGAGCCAAGGACAAAAUUCUCCCCUACAGCUUCAGGAAGGGGAAUGGUCCUUCUUUGAUUCUGGCCUGUGAUCCUGAUUCAGCCUUCUGCCUUCCAGAACUGUGAAAGACUAAAUCUGUUGUUUUAAAUCACCACAUUUUUGGUGAUUUGUUACAGCAGCCAGAGGGUAAUAAUAACAUCUAGGUUUCUUUUUCCUGUUGGUGUUUUCUGAAAUUCUUGGAACUGUGAUUUGGUGUCUGUCACUAAUUUUGGAAAAUGCUCAGCCAUUAUUUAAUUAUUUCUUCAAAUAUUUUCUUCUGCUCUGUUCUCUCUUCCCUUCUGGAAUUUCAUUACAAAUGUGUUAGACCAUUUGAUAUUGUCUCAUAGCUCUUGGAUCUUCUGUUUUUGUCCUCUCUUUUAUCUCUUUGUGUUUCAGUUGAGGUAAUUUCUGUUGACAUGUUAU